GACGAACGCUGGCGGCGUGCUUAACACAUGCAAGUCGAACGAAAAGAGGGAAAGAGCUUGCUCUUUCCGGAAUUGAGUGGCAAACGGGUGAGUAACACGUAAACAACCUGCCUUCAGGAUGGGGACAACAGACGGAAACGACUGCUAAUACCGAAUAAGUUCCAAGGGCCGCAUGGCCCAUGGAAGAAAAGGUGGCCUCUACCUGUAAGCUAUCGCCUGAAGAGGGGUUUGCGUCUGAUUAGCUGGUUGGAGGGGUAACGGCCCACCAAGGCGACGAUCAGUAGCCGGUCUGAGGGGAGGACAGGCAACACUGGAACUGAGACACGGUCCAGACCCCUACGGGAGGCAGCAGUGGGGAAUCUUCCGCAAGGGGCGAAAGCCUGACGGAGCAACGCCGCGGGAGGGAUGACGGCCUUCGGGUUGAAAAACUUUGUGAUCCGGGACGAAAAGGCAGGGGGCGAAAAACAAACUGCAUUGACGGUACCGGAAAAGCAAGCCACGGCUAACUACGU
Molecule: ribosomal RNA, 512 nt
Filed under: uncultured bacterium
Lineage: Bacteria
Description: partial 16S ribosomal RNA
Rfam family: Bacterial small subunit ribosomal RNA
Source: RNAcentral